Molecule: ribosomal RNA, 468 nt
Filed under: uncultured bacterium
Lineage: Bacteria
Description: partial 16S ribosomal RNA
Rfam family: Bacterial small subunit ribosomal RNA
Source: RNAcentral
GACGAACGCUGGCGGCGUGCUUAAUACAUGCAAGUCGAACGGACAGGCUCUGCUUUUGUGGGGUGCUCGAGUGGCGAACGGGUGCGUACCACGUGAGUAACCUGCCCUUGCCUUUGGGAUAACUUCAGGAAACUGGGGCUAAUACCGGCUAGGAGCUCCUGCUGCUUGGUGGGGGUUGGAAAGUUUCGGCGGUUGGGGAUGGACUCGCGGCUUAUUAGCUUGUAGGUGGGGUAGUGGCUUAGUAAGGCUUCGACGGGUCGCCGGCCUGAGAGGGUGACCGGCCACAGUGGGACUGAGGUACGGCCCGGACGCCUACGGGGGGCAUCGGUGAGGGUUAUAGCGCGAUGGGCGGAAGCCGGAUGGAGCAACUCCGCGUGCUGGAGGACGGCCGUCGGGGUGUAAACCGCGUGCGCCUGGGACGAAGCGUGAGUGACGGUAAUUGAUAAAGAAGCACCGGCUAACUACGUG